ACCGUGGACUGUAUGUACUAUAUCAUUCUAUUUCGCUUUCAAACUAGUUCUACUACAUUGUUCUACUUUGAUAGACCUAGACAGACACAUAAUUUUGGGCUCCUCUUGACCCAAGGAAAUGGAAAAAAUCAAAUUGAACCGCGUGUUAAUCGACCCUCAGUGCCAUCUAGUAUCACUUUGUAACAACUAAAACCCAACAUAAACAACAGUACUAUCUUUUGAUACUAGAUGUCACUUUAUACACAUAUGUGACUUCAACAUGCCGCCCACCAAGGACAGAAUGUCCUUAACUAUGACCCAUACAUGUCUAGUAUAAAACCUCUCGUAUAAAAACCCUCACCUCGCGUAUAAAAACCCAUGUUUAAGAACCCCUCGUAUAAUAAACCCUUUACAUAUUAAAACCACUCGUUUAACUAAACCUUAAAACUAGUAAAUCAAAUAAUAUAACAUUCGUUAACAGUUAAUUACUUAUUAACCAGUGAAAACCAAUUUUAAAACUACACAUUUUACAUUUACAAAAUACAAGUCAUCCCAUCAGUUCAGGGAUUGUCCUAGAAAAUCUUGCCAAACAACCACGUACUUGGAGACAAGUUAUCACCCUACAACAAAAUUGUAUCCCCGACUGCCGGCUCAGAACUUUUAUGAGCCUGUUAAUAAACCUUGUAUGAAAAUUGUAAAAUGUCUAUAAAAUAUCAAUUGAACUUAUUACCUACCUAAAAACCACGAACUGAACUAAAGAGUGAAGAACUGUUUUCUAACAAAGAUUGGUCUACUGUACCUAUUUGAACAUAAAACCCUUUAACUUCUUGAGUUUAGUGUAUGAUAGUUUGUUCUCUUAAAAACCCUUGAAAAACUUUCAUAGACACUACUAACAACUUAGUCAUCCAAACAGCUCCACAAAACUCAAACUGCGGUAUACCUACUCAUUUAUCACCGAAGUAACAGAGUUUUGACACUAGCAAACUAGCCCAACGGGAAUUUCCCUGAUGCAGUGAUUACGCGUAAAUAAACCCCAGCAGCGUAAGCAACGUUGAAGGCAUCUGAGAAUCCCUGCAGCCCUGCAAAGCAUCGUCUGAUCGAGUGCAUACCACCGCGGAUACUUCAGCUAAGUAGUAACUCGUUAAGUAAGGUAAGUAUUCCCAUCUUUAGAUAACUCUAGUAAGUUCUUUCUCUCACCCUAUUCCAGCUAUCCACACUGCUUGAUAACUUCUUCGCUUAAGCAGUUGCUAUCCAUCCUAAUGGACUGAAUAGAUGCGAUACAAUACAACCAAUAUAAUUUUUCUUUUUCUUACAGGCGCGGACAGCGGCGGCAAUUCACCGAGUACUGAAAUUCAUCAUUGUUCCUGUUUCAGUUUGACUCCAUUUGUGGAUGCGUCAAACACCACUUUCGCAGUUGAUCUUUCUUCCUUCAUAACAGCAUGUGGUAAACACUUCUUCGUGGUAUAGACACUUCACUCUACAUCUUCCAUCUGCACUCCGACGAGUGGUCGCAGUGAAGAUUUCUCCGCAUCGCUGUUCUUUUGAUGUUAACUUUCUUGAUGUGAAUAAAGUUUCCAUAUCCAAAACCUUAGAGCGUUUUGAAUCCAAUUCCUCUACAAACGCAUGCAACACUGUAACUCUAUUUUCAUCCGCAGCAGUAUUUAUCGGUCCAGAUAUUAUCCACCCAAGCGUGGUGCACUGUGCCACUGGCGAACCCGUAGGUCCCCGUAACAAACCAUUCCUGAAUA
Ostrinia nubilalis (European corn borer) is the source of this 1727-nucleotide long non-coding RNA. RefSeq lists it as uncharacterized. The record is from RefSeq and is a predicted model, not a curated record. The transcript has 3 exons. Lineage: Eukaryota; Metazoa; Arthropoda; Insecta; Lepidoptera; Crambidae.